AGGAAUAUUGGUCAAUGGGCGCGAGCCUGAACCAGCCAAGUAGCGUGAAGGAUGAAGGUCCUACGGAUUGUAAACUUCUUUUAUACGGGAAUAAAGUGGUCCACGUGUGGAUUUUUGCAUGUACCGUAUGAAUAAGCAUCGGCUAACUCCGUGCCAGCAGCCGCGGUAAUACGGAGGAUGCGAGCGUUAUCCGGAUUUAUUGGGUUUAAAGGGAGCGCAGACGGGGGAUUAAGUCAGUUGUGAAAGUUUGCGGCUCAACCGUAAAAUUGCAGUUGAUACUGGUUCCCUUGAGUGCAGUUGAGGCAGGCGGAAUUCGUGGUGUAGCGGUGAAAUGCAUAGAUAUCACGAAGAACCCCGAUUGCGAAGGCAGCCUGCUAAGCUGUAACUGACGUUGAGGCUCGAAAGUGUGGGUAUCAAACAGGAUUAGAUACCCUGGUAGUCCACACGGUAAACGAUGGAUACUCGCUGUUGGCGAUAUACUGUCAGCGGCCAAGCGAAAGCAUUAAGUAUCCCACCUGGGGAGUACGCCGGCAACGGUGAAACUCAAAGGAAUUGACGGGGGCCCGCACAAGCGGAGGAACAUGUGGUUUAAUUCGAUGAUACGCGAGGAACCUUACCCGGGCUUAAAUUGCAGACGAAUUACUUGGAAACAGGUAAGCCGCAAGGCGUCUGUGAAGGUGCUGCAUGGUUGUCGUCAGCUCGUGCCGUGAGGUGUCGGCUUAAGUGCCAUAACGAGCGCAACCCUCGUGGCCAGUUACUAGCAGGUAACGCUGAGGACUCUGGCCAGACUGCCAUCGCAAGAUGCGAGGAAGGUGGGGAUGACGUCAAAUCAGCGCGGCCCUUACGUCCGGGGCUACACACGUGUUACAAUGGGGGGUACAGAGGGCUGCUACCACGCAAGUGGAUGCCAAUCCCAAAAACCUCUCUCAGUUCGGACUGGAGUCUGCAACCCGACUUCAUGAAGCUGGAUUCGCUAGUAAUCGCGCAUCAGCCACGGCGCGGUGAAUACGUUCCCG
RNAcentral lists this ribosomal RNA (1016 nucleotides) under uncultured bacterium. RNAcentral describes it as "bacterial SSU rRNA". It matches the Rfam family "Bacterial small subunit ribosomal RNA", at positions 357 to 1376 of the family's 1533-position model. The record is from RNAcentral.